RNAcentral lists this ribosomal RNA (354 nucleotides) under uncultured bacterium. RNAcentral's name for it is "bacterial SSU rRNA". It matches the Rfam family "Bacterial small subunit ribosomal RNA", at positions 917 to 1271 of the family's 1533-position model. The record is from RNAcentral.
GGGCCCGCACAAGCGGUGGAGCAUGUGGUUUAAUUCGAUGAUACGCGAGGAACCUUACCAGGGCUUAAAUGUAGUUUGACCGGUCUGGAAACAGACUUUCUCUUCGGAGCAGAUUACAAGGUGCUGCAUGGUUGUCGUCAGCUCGUGCCGUGAGGUGUUAGGUUAAGUCCUGCAACGAGCGCAACCCCUAUUCUUAGUUGCCAGCACGUAAUGGUGGGAACUCAUGGGAUACUGCCGGGGUCAACUCGGAGGAAGGUGGGGAUGACGUCAAAUCAUCAUGCCCCUUAUGUCUUGGGCUUCACGCAUGCUACAAUGGCCGGUACAGAGGGCUGCAAUACCGUAAGGUGGAGCGAA